Molecule: long non-coding RNA, 206 nt
Filed under: Phoenix dactylifera (date palm)
Lineage: Eukaryota; Viridiplantae; Streptophyta; Magnoliopsida; Arecales; Arecaceae
Description: long non-coding RNA (PDAC_LNC001767)
Source: RNAcentral
UCGAUGCCAGCAGCGGAGUUGAGAGCGGCUCGGUCUGGAUUGAGCUAUAUUCGGCGUGUUUUGCUGAGAUAAGAAAUUCUCUUGAAGGGUAACUCUGUGACAGUCAUUGGAUAGAUGAUAGAUCCUACAGGCUUCGAUUAGGAUUGACGAUUACCACUCGCUGUUAAGAGACAUUCGGGCCAUUAUUUAUAACAAGAUGGUGAUCC